UACGGAAGGUGCAAGCGUUAAUCGGAAUUACUGGGCGUAAAGCGCGCGUAGGCGGCUUGGUAAGUCGGGUGUGAAAGCCCCGGGCUCAACCUGGGAACUGCACUCGAUACUGCCGGGCUAGAGUACGAGAGAGGGGGGUGGAAUUCCAGGUGUAGCGGUGAAAUGCGUAGAGAUCUGGAGGAACACCGGUGGCGAAGGCGGCCCCUGGGCUAACACUGACGCUCAUGCACGAAAGCGUGGGGAGCGAACAGGAUUAGAAACCCUUGUAGU
RNAcentral lists this ribosomal RNA (270 nucleotides) under uncultured bacterium. RNAcentral's name for it is "partial 16S ribosomal RNA". It matches the Rfam family "Bacterial small subunit ribosomal RNA", at positions 524 to 794 of the family's 1533-position model. The record is from RNAcentral.